Molecule: ribosomal RNA, 525 nt
Filed under: uncultured Pseudomonadota bacterium
Lineage: Bacteria; Pseudomonadati; Pseudomonadota
Description: bacterial SSU rRNA
Rfam family: Bacterial small subunit ribosomal RNA
Source: RNAcentral
AAACCCUGACGCAGCAACGCCGCGUGGGUGAAGAAGGCCUUCGGGUCGUAAAGCCCUUUCGGACGGACGAACGCUCCGCGGGACAAGCCGCGGAGUCUGACGGUACCGUAGGAAGAAGCACCGGCUAACUCCGUGCCAGCAGCCGCGGUAAUACGGAGGGUGCGAGCGUUGUUCGGAAUUACUGGGCGUAAAGCGCGUGUAGGCGGCUUUGCAAGCCAGACGUGAAAGCCCUCGGCUUAACCGGGGAAGUGCGUCUGGAACUGCUUGGCUUGAGUACGGGAGAGGGAGGCGGAAUUCCCAGUGUAGAGGUGAAAUUCGUAGAUAUUGGGAGGAACACCGGUGGCGAAAGCGGCCUCCUGGACCGAUACUGACGCUGAGACGCGAAAGCGUGGGGAGCAAACAGGAUUAGAUACCCUGGUAGUCCACGCGGUAAACGAUGGGCACUAGGUGUGGGGGGUAUCCACUCCUCCCGUGCCGAAGCUAACGCAUUAAGUGCCCCGCCUGGGGAGUACGGCCGCAAGGUUA